This 237-nucleotide long non-coding RNA is filed under the name Homo sapiens (human). RNAcentral describes it as "HSALNT0387716". Lineage: Eukaryota; Metazoa; Chordata; Mammalia; Primates; Hominidae. The record is from RNAcentral.
GGAAGAGGGAAGCUUCUGCAGAGCCCAAACCAGCCCCAUUCCCUGGAAAGUGCAUUUCAUCAGACCUGACCCAGGCUGGGUUGUUAAAGACAGGAGGUCUGCGAUCAGAGCAGCCUGGAAAGCCAGAGAACAUUCCAGAUCCAGAGACCCUUAUUCCAAGAAGUUGGAAGUGAGUUGCCAGGCAGACCUAGCUUUUGGGGACACCAUUCAGCCCACUACAGAGAGUGUUCAAGAAAU